This 776-nucleotide ribosomal RNA is filed under the name uncultured Neocallimastigales. RNAcentral describes it as "partial large subunit ribosomal RNA". It matches the Rfam family "Eukaryotic large subunit ribosomal RNA", at positions 24 to 642 of the family's 3401-position model. The record is from RNAcentral. Lineage: Eukaryota; Fungi; Neocallimastigomycota; Neocallimastigomycetes; Neocallimastigales.
UAUCUCUGUAGAGUCUGCAUAUCAAUAAGCGGAGGAAAAGAAACUAACUAGGAUUCCCUUAGUAACGGCGAGUGAAGCGGGAAGAGCUCAAAUUUGAAAUCUUCAAGGUUUUACCUUGACGAAUUGUAGUUUAAAGAAGUGUUUUCUGUUGGUGUUUUGGUAAAAGUUCUUUGGAAUAGGACGUCAUAGAGGGUGAGAAUCCCGUAUUUGACCAUUACUUCCAGCGUUGUGAUACACUUUCAAAGAGUCGGAUUGUUUGGGAAUGCAGUCCAAAAUGGGUGGUAAAUUUCAUCUAAAGCUAAAUAUUGGCGAGAGACCGAUAGCGAACAAGUACCGUGAGGGAAAGAUGAAAAGAACUUUGAAAAGAGAGUUAAACAGUACGUGAAAUUGUCAAAAGGGAAGCGUUUGACACCAGUGUUGUUUUCUCGAAAAUCAAUUAAAAAAAGUUGGAUUUUGUAUUGUUAAGACCUUAUCAGCUUACUGUACUCUUUUCUUGCUUUUUUUAAUGCACUUUUCGUUUAACAAGUCAACAUCAAUUUCUUUUGUUGUAAAAGAGUCAUUGGAAGGUGGCUUUCACUUUCGGAUGAAAGUGUUUAUAGCCUUUGGACUUCUGCAAUCGGAGAGAUUGAGGUCUGCAGCGUAGAUCCUUCGGGGCUAGAUACGUAGAUGCUAAGUUAUAGUUUUUUAUAGACAACUUGUUGACUAUAAUUAAUCAUGUAGCUUACUCGUUUGCGCUAUUUUACCUACGCUUAGGAUGUUGAAGAUGUAGCACAUCA